GUUGAGCUACAAGACUAUUUGGCUUCAAAUCCCAUACACAUACAUUGAGUUUUUACUGUAUAUUUGGUUUAUAUUGAUUGUAUAUCAGGUAUACUUUGUAGUCAGGCCAAUCUGUAUAGUUCUGCCCAUUUUGGCUUUAUUUUUCCGGGUUUGUUUUCUGGCCCAUUUUGUGUUAAUAUGUAAUUAUAUACCUGAACCUCUGUAAACAGAAGGUCCAGUCGGAUAUUUUCAUUUGUGAAUCAAUAUUAUUUCUCUUUCUAAGAAGCUCUCUGGAAGCUUCUACCUAACCGACUCUCUCUCAUCUUGUUCUUCGAUUUCAUCUAGAUUUCUUGAUGUUUUCA
RNAcentral lists this long non-coding RNA (341 nucleotides) under Nicotiana benthamiana. Its description in RNAcentral is "long non-coding RNA (NBEN_LNC008811)". Lineage: Eukaryota; Viridiplantae; Streptophyta; Magnoliopsida; Solanales; Solanaceae. The record is from RNAcentral.